Long non-coding RNA from Talpa occidentalis (Iberian mole), 627 nucleotides. RefSeq lists it as uncharacterized. The record is from RefSeq and is a predicted model, not a curated record. The transcript is spliced from 3 exons. NCBI's taxonomy places the organism in Eukaryota, Metazoa, Chordata, Mammalia, Eulipotyphla, Talpidae.
AGAUAGGCUCAAGGAAAAGAAUUGUAGUUACUUGAAUUUAAUAUAUUGACUUACUUUGAAAUAUAGCUUUAAAUAUCUGAUACUCAUCAACAGGGUUAUCUUCAUCAUCAAUGAUUGUGGAGUAGCCUUCCAGAGCAGUCUCUUCAGCAUCAUCCUCUUCCCAAUCUUCAUCAUCUCCAUCUUCACCUGCUUGCUUAGCCAGAAUCUCUAAGUAUUCUUGCCCAUCUUCAUCAAUAUCAUCUUCAUCACUCCCCAGUUCCUCUGCCAAGUUAAAAAUAGAACUAACAGAUGACAAAUGUUUGCCAUCACAAAAACCAUAAAUGCCUGAAAGUAUUUUACCCACUGGAGGUACAGACGAAGUACCUCCAUGGACCUUACACUCUGCAAAUCCCUUACCUGUUUCAUCAUCAUCUUCAGCUUCAUCAUCAUCAUCACUGUCAUUCUCAUGUUCUGCAUGGCAGGCAUAUGCUCUUUUUAAUCCAUUAAAUAAAAGGAUAAAAGCUGGCAAAAUCUGUCCAGAAACCUGAUUUAAAACUUGUGGUAUUUGUUCCAUGUCAAUGAGAGCACACAGGCCGAGAACACACAUCUUUCUGUCAUGAAGCCUAAAAAUAAAAUAAAAUGACAUAU